This 1512-nucleotide ribosomal RNA is filed under the name Triticum aestivum (bread wheat). Its description in RNAcentral is "partial small subunit ribosomal RNA". The record is from RNAcentral. Lineage: Eukaryota; Viridiplantae; Streptophyta; Magnoliopsida; Poales; Poaceae.
AUGAACGCUGAGGAGGCGUGCCAAUGGCACGCCCCAGCCACUACGAAUUCAUCCACGCCGGCCUCAUGUUCGGCCCUCCCCGACGAUGUCUAUUACGACGCGAUCAAUCCGUGGGCGAAAUCAGAGGCGCAGGACAUCGCUCCAUGUCCGUUCCUCCCUGAUGACAUCAUCGAGGACAUCUUCACGCGGCUGCCGGCAAGCUUAGCCCUCCAGUGUCGCGGCCUGUCCCGCGACUGGGCUGCCACAAUCUCCUCCGAUGCCUUCGUCGACCGUCACCUCCGAGCCGCCAACCGCCACGGCGGCCCCAGGUUCUUCCUCCUCUCGUGGACGCCAUCCCUCACCACGGCGCACGCGUGGUCACCCGGCGGCAGAAUCGCGCCGCCGCCGCCGCUCACCCGGCGCCUGCUCAUGCGCGACGGCGUCACUCAGCAGUGCCGCGGCCUCGUCGUCCUCAAGGAGCGGGCCCGCCAGCCGGUGCACUGCGUCUGCGUGUACAACUCAUCCACCGGACACAUGACGGCGCUCCCGCGGCGCCGCCUGAACCUGAUGGAGGGCCUCCACCACCGUCACCCGGCGAAGGGGCACUACGAGAGCUUUGGGCUCGGCUACGACGCGCGCAUCGAAAAGCACAAGGUGGUGCGCAUACACUACCGCGGGUACCAGCUCCCCGACCUCUGCGAGGUCUACGUGGUGGACGACGACUCCGGCGCGGGGUUCUGGCGUGCGCCGGCGGCGAUCGGCCGGCCCGACGCGACGAAACCGGCCGGCUGGGUGAGCUCGUACGAGCCGAGUGUGUUCGCGCAGGGCCACGUUCAUUGGAUGGCCCAGAAGCAGAGUCCGCGGAAGGACUCGCACUGGAGGGUGACGGGCCGGGGGCUCAUCAUCUCCUUCUCCGUCGCCGACGAGCACUUCGGGGUUGUGCCGCUGCCUCCCUGUGUGGACUACCUCGGCGAGUACCAGCUAACGGAGCUGGAGGGACGCCUGUGCCUCUUCAGCCCCAUCGUCGACAACAUCAAACGCGGGCACCGGCCAUACGACCUGUGGUCGCUGCGCGACCACGAGACGGGGACGUGGGACUUCCGCUGCCGUCGCCGGAGGUCGCUUCGUUCAUACGCUGUGGCGCCACCGGCAGCCUGCACCUUCGCGUACACGCCAGCGACCGGCCACAAUGAGCGCCUGCCCUCCGGCGGAGGCCUGAUCGCUUCCUACCACACCUACAGCAACUGCACGUGGCCGGUCACACUCUAUGAGGAAAGCCUCAUCUCUCCCGGGCGGCCACACGAGGACAUCCUCUUCUCUCCGGCGGGCACGGAGGCCCUAUGCGUGGCCCUAGCGGGCCGUGCUCCACCGCCACGGGAGCUCAUGCAUCUCAAGCUCGUCUGCCGGAGCUGGCGUGCCAUGAUCGAGAGCGAGCGUUUCGUCAAGCUGCUGCGCGCAAGCGUGUUGACAGGGGCCAAAGAGGUGCUGGCCGUGCUGCUAUACCCCGUGCUCUAUUGCGGCAUGUCCAAGUAG